AUCCUUUUGUAGUUCAUGAGCAUAAUGAUUGGAUAUUCACACACAUGUGUAAGAUGUGCCACCCUUGAACCUUGUUACGACCUUGGCACGUUACCCAUCUGACC
Callithrix jacchus (white-tufted-ear marmoset) is the source of this 104-nucleotide small nucleolar RNA. Lineage: Eukaryota; Metazoa; Chordata; Mammalia; Primates; Cebidae. The record is from Ensembl.